GGGCCCGCACAAGCAGUGGAGUAUGUGGUUUAAUUCGAAGCAACGCGAAGAACCUUACCAGGUCUUGACAUCCGACUAACGAAGCAGAGAUGCAUUAGGUGCCCUUCGGGGAAAGUCGAGACAGGUGGUGCAUGGUUGUCGUCAGCUCGUGUCGUGAGAUGUUGGGUUAAGUCCCGCAACGAGCGCAACCCUUGUCAUUAGUUGCUACGCAAGAGCACUCUAAUGAGACCGCUAUCGACAAGAUGGAGGAAGGUGGGGACGACGUCAAAUCAUCAUGCCCUUUAUGACCUGGGCUACACACGUACUACAAUGGCCGUUAACAGAGGGAUGCAAUCCCGUGAGGAGGAGCAAACCCCUAAAAACGGUCUCAGUUCAGAUUGCAGGCUGCAACCCGCCUGCAUGAAGUCGGAAUUGCUAGUAAUCGCGGAUCAGCAUGCCGCGGUGAAUACGUUCCCGGGCCUU
RNAcentral lists this ribosomal RNA (462 nucleotides) under uncultured bacterium. Its description in RNAcentral is "bacterial SSU rRNA". It matches the Rfam family "Bacterial small subunit ribosomal RNA", at positions 917 to 1382 of the family's 1533-position model. The record is from RNAcentral.